This 795-nucleotide long non-coding RNA is filed under the name Homo sapiens (human). Its description in RNAcentral is "HSALNT0311122". The record is from RNAcentral. Lineage: Eukaryota; Metazoa; Chordata; Mammalia; Primates; Hominidae.
ACCAGGAGACUGUGGGAGGAUGUGAGCUCUCUGAGAAGGAGAAGAAGUAUUUACAUUAGAAGUCUGAUUCACAGGUCGGGGCAAAGUGAAAAACAUCUGCACUUUUAAAAGAGAGGUCAAAAGUCCGUCUGACUCACCUGUGCUGAGUGACUUGAAUGCCAUCUAAUCUAACUUCAAGAUCAUCAGGAUACUUGCCAACAAGGUCACAGUGGACUCCAUGGAGCAACUGCCCUCAGGAGGCAACAGAUGGCUUCACUUGCUUAUUGGCUGAAGGUCUGCAAGGACUCAAUUCACAUAUCUGAUCAUACCUGGAGUCCAGACUUUCUCCUGAUGCCUGACCCCUUUGCCAUUAGGUCGGCUCCGUAUGACUGAGUUCUAGCCAGUGAGGUAUGGGCAGAAGUGAUGUGUACCAAUUGCGAGCUCGACUUUUGAAAUCAUCCCACGUGAUCCUCCUGCCAUCUACCAGCCAUCCUUUUUGAUCUUGAAGGUCUUAUGCCUCAGAUUGUGUAACUACAGGAUGAAGGAAGGCCACUCAACCCACACUUGGACAUGAUGUUCUUUUUGAGGGGAGUCUCUCUGAUGCUUGGAAUGAAUCCUGCUGAAUCAAUGCUGAUGCUUGGAGAUCUUCAAGUCUUUUCCCUUUUUCCCAUUGCUCAUGAUGUCUAUAUAACCUCCAAACAUGCAUCCCACUCCUCUGCCGAAAGACCAUUUUUUUAUAUCUUCAGUGAUGGUCUAGGCCAGGUUAAUUGACUUUUCUUUUUUCUUAAGCCAACUAAAGUCCUCACCACAAAUUAA